GUAGUAAUACCACAGGAGUACUGCAAAGAAUAGCAUCCUAGUAGUACAGUGGCACCAUAACUAUGACAUCAUCUAUAGCAAGGAAUGAAUACAAAAAGAUCUGCGUCUGUAUGAAUAUUAUGCAUUGAAUAAAGAGUUUAGCAGAUGUAUGUGUGUUUCAGUGUGGUUCAAGACCCAGCCUGUGAUCAGAGAUCCAGACCAGAAUCCAGAUCAGACCAGAUCAGACCAGUCUGUGUGUUCGCUGGAGGAGGGAACCGGAGCUCCUGUGAUUAAACAAGAGCGACAGGAACCGGAAACCAGCGGCGGAGCUGGAGGGAGUCGUCCCUUCGAUCACGAGGCAGCAGCACAUCCAGGCAGACCCGAAGCUCAGGAGAAC
Molecule: long non-coding RNA, 376 nt
Organism: Cyprinus carpio (common carp)
Lineage: Eukaryota; Metazoa; Chordata; Actinopteri; Cypriniformes; Cyprinidae
Exons: 3
Source: RefSeq, a predicted model, not a curated record